AAUGAACGCUGGCGGCGCGCCUAACACAUGCAAGUCGAACGAGAAAUCUCGAGCUUGCUCGAGAGAGUAAAGUGGCGCACGGGUGAGUAACGCGUGGGUAACCUGUCCUUAAAUUUGGGAUAAUCCACCGAAAGGUGGUCUAAUACCAGAUACAACUCGGAGAACCUUGGUUCUCCGGAUGAAAGCUGACCUCUUCAUGAAAGUUGCCGUUUGGGGAGGGGCUCGCGUACCAUUAGCUUGUUGGCGGGGUAAUGGCCUACCAAGGCUACGAUGGUUAGCUGGUCUGAGAGGAUGACCAGUCACACUGGAACUGAGACACGGUCCAGACUCCUACGGGAGGCAGCAGUGAGGAAUCUUGCGCAAUGGGGGAAACCCUGACGCAGCAACGCCGCGUGAGUGAUGAAGGCUCUUGGGUCGUAAAGCUCUGUCAAUAGGGAAGAAUCAUCUAUGGUUAAUAUCCAUAGUUGUUGACGGUACCUAUGAAGGAAGCACCGGCUAACUCCGUGCCAGCAGCCGCGGUAAUACGGGGGGUACAAGCGUUGUUCGGAAUUAUUGGGCGUAAAGAGCGUGUAGGCGGUUUGGUAAGUCAGAUGUGAAAGCCCUGGGCUCAACCCAGGAAGUGCAUUUGAUACUGCCCUACUUGAGUAUGGGAGAGGAGAGUGGAAUUCCCAGUGUAGAGGUGAAAUUCGUAGAUAUUGGGAAGAACACCCGUGGCGAAGGCGACUCUCUGGACCAAUACUGACGCUGAGACGCGAAAGCGUGGGGAGCAAACAGGAUUAGAUACCCUGGUAGUCCACGCCGUAAACGAUGAGAACUAGGUGUAGCGGGUAUUGACCCCUGCUGUGCCGGAGCUAACGCAUUAAGUUCUCCGCCUGGGGAGUACGGCCGCAAGGCUAAAACUCAAAGGAAUUGACGGGGGCCCGCACAAGCGGUGGAGCAUGUGGUUUAAUUCGAGGCAACGCGAAGAACCUUACCAGCUUUUGACAUCCCGGUCGCGGAUAGCAGAGAUGCUUUCCUUCAGUUCGGCUGGACCGGUGACAGGUGCUGCAUGGUUGUCGUCAGCUCGUGUCGUGAGAUGUUGGGUUAAGUCCCGCAACGAGCGCAACCCUUGCCUUUAGUUGCCAGCAUUUAGUUGGGCACUCUAGAGGGACUGCCGGUGAUAAGCCGGAGGAAGGUGGGGAUGACGUCAAAUCAUCCUGGCCCUUAUGGGCUGGGCUACACACGUGCUACAAUGGCGGUGACAGUGAGCAGCCACUCAGCAAUGGGGAGCUAAUCUCUAAAAGCCGUCUCAGUUCGGAUUGUUCUCUGCAACUCGAGAGCAUGAAGUUGGAAUCGCUGGUAAUCGUGGAUCAGCAUGCCACGGUGAAUACGUUCCCGGGCCUUGUACACACCGCCCGUCACACCAUGGGAGUUGGU
RNAcentral lists this ribosomal RNA (1416 nucleotides) under uncultured prokaryote. Its description in RNAcentral is "partial 16S ribosomal RNA". It matches the Rfam family "Bacterial small subunit ribosomal RNA". The record is from RNAcentral.